UGGGAUUUUAUAAUUAUUUUGAUCUAUAGUGAAGGGAUUUCAUAAUUACUAUUUUUGGGCAUAGCUUGAAAGAAUACCGACUCAACAACCAACAAGAAGAACAGAAAGCAUCACAUGAUGUCCGUGCUGAAAUCCAAACACUUCUACUUGUAAUGGAUAGCAAUUAGGACCACACACCUCCAUCUGCCACACCAUUUUUAUUGUCUCUUGUCCGUACAGUUUAAGGCAGGUGUGCCACGUGAUCUUCAUGCAUUCUACAAUAAAAUUAUUUCAAAAUUAUGUCAAUUUUCUAAUUUCAUCUCUAUAUUUUAACUCUAUUGAAUUUAUCCGUUUGUAUUAAUAAAAAUUUAUAAUAUUUAUAUUUAAAAAACACAGAAAUACAGAUAAUAUUAAAAUAUAGAAAUUAAAUUGUUGAGUUUUAAAAAUAAAAAAUAUGUAUAUAAAUUCUGAUAUAUCCUGAGAAAGAAAUGGAAAAAAAAAAAAAAUUAUUAAGUUUUAAAUAAUUUAAUGCCUAAAAAAUCUCCCGACUCAACUACCACAACAGUAAUACCUGUUUAGUUGUAAUAUAAUCACCC
This 575-nucleotide long non-coding RNA is filed under the name Manihot esculenta (cassava). Its description in RNAcentral is "long non-coding RNA (MESC_LNC003862)". The record is from RNAcentral. Lineage: Eukaryota; Viridiplantae; Streptophyta; Magnoliopsida; Malpighiales; Euphorbiaceae.